RNAcentral lists this long non-coding RNA (215 nucleotides) under Musa acuminata (dwarf banana). RNAcentral describes it as "long non-coding RNA (MACU_LNC009768)". The record is from RNAcentral. Lineage: Eukaryota; Viridiplantae; Streptophyta; Magnoliopsida; Zingiberales; Musaceae.
CCCUCUUAGUGCUCUUGAUCCUAACAAUUGGUAUCAGAGCCUCAUUUUUCAAAUUUGGUUUAACACCCAAAUUGAAAUGGCUCUUUUCGGCAACCAAGAGGAUCACUCUCUCUUUCAUCCUCCCUUUUUCAAUGGGACGGACUACACUUAUUGGAAAACUCGAAUGAGAGUUUUCUUGCUUUCGUUGGAUUUGAAUUUAUGGCACAUUAUCGAAU